RNAcentral lists this ribosomal RNA (450 nucleotides) under uncultured bacterium. RNAcentral's name for it is "partial 16S ribosomal RNA". It matches the Rfam family "Bacterial small subunit ribosomal RNA", at positions 329 to 793 of the family's 1533-position model. The record is from RNAcentral.
UACCAGACUCCUACGGGAGGCAGCAGUGGGGAAUAUUGCACAAUGGGCGAAAGCCUGAUGCAGCAACGCCGCGUGAAGGAAGAAGGGUUUCGGCUCGUAAACUUCUAUCAACAGGGACGAAAGAAAUGACGGUACCUGAAUAAGAAGCCCCGGCUAACUACGUGCCAGCAGCCGCGGUAAUACGUAGGGGGCAAGCGUUAUCCGGAUUCACUGGGUGUAAAGGGAGCGUAGGCGGCCAGGCAAGCCUGGAGUGAAAGCCCGGGGCCCAACCCCGGGACUGCUCUGGGAACUGUCCGGCUGGAGUGCGGGAGGGGCAGGCGGAAUUCCUGGUGUAGCGGUGAAAUGCGUAGAUAUCAGGAGGAACACCGGCGGCGAAGGCGGCCUGCUGGACCGCGACUGACGUUGAGGCUCGAAAGCGUGGGGAGCGAACAGGAUUAGAUACCCCGGUAU